AUUGAACGCUGGCGGCAGGCCUAACACAUGCAAGUCGGGCGAGCGGCGGACGGGUGAGUAAUGUAUGGGGAUCUGCCUGAUGGAGGGGGAUAACUACUGGAAACGGUAGCUAAUACCGCAUACCAUCAGAUGAACCCAUAUGGGAUUAGCUAGUAGGUGAGGUAACGGCUCACCUAGGCGACGAUCCCUAGCUGGUCUGAGAGGAUGAUCAGCCACACUGGGACUGAGACACGGCCCAGACUCCUACGGGAGGCAGCAGUAGGGAAUCUUCGACAAUGGACGAAAGUCUGACCGAGCAACGCCGCGUGAGUGAAGAAGGUUUUCGGGUCGUAAAGCACUGUUGGUAGAGAAGCGGUAUCUAACGAAAAAGCAACGGCUAACUACGUGCCAGCAGCCGCGGUAAUAC
Molecule: ribosomal RNA, 406 nt
Filed under: uncultured bacterium
Lineage: Bacteria
Description: partial 16S ribosomal RNA
Rfam family: Bacterial small subunit ribosomal RNA
Source: RNAcentral